CUUAGGGAACCCAGCAAGGCAUCAGAUGUGCGGGCGAGCCAUUGCCACACCAUGCUUAGAAGCUGAUGACGAGGAUGAAGCUCCUGUGUUCCUUUCAGAUGCGGACCCGCUCUCUCUGACAGCAGGAACAGACUCCCUCCUCCUCGUUCGGGUCUCGGCUCUGCGGAGGCCAUCUCGGGGAUCCCCAUCCCGAGGAGCGCACCCUAGACUCACCUGCUUCAUUUCCUAGGGGCUCCUUCCUACCCUGCGACCCGAGAGUAGCCAAUCACAGUUUUCGUACCCGCCAGACCACGGUAAUUGACGCAGGCCCGGGCCAAUCAGAGCCCAUACCCAUUACCCUGCCUCCACUUGGCGGAGAAGACUUCUAGGGCAACGGAGGAUCCUUGGGGAGGAGCAGAGGGGUGAGGGCCGGGCGUCCCUGAACCUGUCCGCCUGUGUCCCCCUUGCUGAGGGCCGACCCACUUCCCUUGGUGGCUUGCAGUUUUCCCUGCGGCGCGUCUCACUGGAGUCAAGGACUCCCAACCAUCUUCAGCAGCUUGGAUCUCAGAUGCAGCCCCGCACUCCCCCGAGGCUCAGGCCCGACACUGGUGCUUGUCUGGAGCCUUUAUGUUUUUUUUUUUUUUUUUUUUUUUUUUUUUUUUUGGUACUGGGGAUCGAACUCGGGUCCUUGCGUUUGCAAGGCAGGCAGCGGAACCCCUGAGCUAAACCCUGGCAAUUUUUUUAGAUAGGGUCUCGCUAUGUAGUUCAGGUUGCUCGAACUCUCUGCCACCUUCCUGCCUUAGUCUCUCCCGCUUCAAAUUACCCAUGGGGCAUCUGCAGGCCCAGCCUCUCUCACCCCGUUACUUCAGCAGCUAAAAACGAGCUAUGCAUGGUCAUUAGAUCAACA
This 886-nucleotide long non-coding RNA is filed under the name Fukomys damarensis (Damara mole-rat). RNAcentral describes it as "lncRNA (ENSFDAG00000033204.1)". Lineage: Eukaryota; Metazoa; Chordata; Mammalia; Rodentia; Bathyergidae. The record is from RNAcentral.